UGAACGCUGGCGGCAUGCCUUACACAUGCAAAUCGAACGGCAGCACGGGUGCUUGCACCUGGUGGCGAGUGGCGAACGGGUGAGUAAUACAUCGGAACAUGUCCUGUAGUGGGGGAUAGCCCGGCGAAAGCCGGAUUAAUACCGCAUACGAUCUACGGAUGAAAGCGGGGGACCUUCGGGCCUCGCGCUAUAGGGUUGGCCGAUGGCUGAUUAGCUAGUUGGUGGGGUAAAGGCCUACCAAGGCGACGAUCAGUAGCUGGUCUGAGAGGACGACCAGCCACACUGGGACUGAGACACGGCCCAGACUCCUACGGGAGGCAGCAGUGGGGAAUUUUGGACAAUGGGCGAAAGCCUGAUCCAGCAAUGCCGCGUGUGUGAAGAAGGCCUUCGGGUUGUAAAGCACUUUUGUCCGGAAAGAAAUCCUUGGCCCUAAUACGGUCGGGGGAUGACGGUACCGGAAGAAUAAGCACCGGCUAACUACGUG
RNAcentral lists this ribosomal RNA (484 nucleotides) under uncultured bacterium. RNAcentral's name for it is "partial 16S ribosomal RNA". It matches the Rfam family "Bacterial small subunit ribosomal RNA", at positions 30 to 507 of the family's 1533-position model. The record is from RNAcentral.